AUUAAUAUGUUUGAAAGGUACAGGGCACAGGGAGACAAUUAAAUACAAGAUUUGGGCCAUCCACUCUGAACUGCAUAGCAUUACUAAUAAAUAUGAUAAAAGAAACUUUCAUCAAGUUAAGAAUGUGGCAUUUGAAACACGUUGCUGCCUCAUUGGUGGGUUUACUUCCUUCUUUCUUUGUAAAGCUUCACAGUAAGUGGCCCAGUGUGAAACUGGAACUCGGUAUGGGGAAAGAGGACGGGUGGAGGAACGGUCAUGUUAUUAAGUUAUUGCAAAUGUAGUGACUGGUGAUUUCACACGUACGCAUUCCACAUUACAGGAAGCUCACACAUAUAAGAAACCAUGCCCUGUUGGCCCCUUACCACCAGAUUUUCCAUUGCCUAUCUCUAAAAUCUAAUGCUUGUUUUUUUUUUUAUCAUGUCAGUUUGCUUUUCUAUAGCAAAGAAGGAAUGCGGUCAUAUGAAUUUCAAGGAUAAGAAAGCAAUCUACAUGCAUCCAGCAAAUCUAAAGGACAAAAGAAUUUUUUUCAGUCACUUGAAGCAUGGGAUGAAACGGACUGAGUUGUUACAGAGCAGAACCAAAGGCACGGAGGCAGAUGCAGAUUGGGAGCUGCUCUGAGGCAGGAGCAGAGCUGUGGAAGGCGGGAGGAGGCCUCGCUGGGGCCUGUGGAACACAAGCAAGAUGGAGCCUCCUCCCUCAGUUUCUGCCAGGUGAGGGUCCAGGGCUGUGACCAGGAGUUUGGCAAGUUCUGGUCUUGUGGUUAACGCCAACUCUGGGGGUCCGCCUUCACUUGUUCAGUGUCCAUUUCACAGCAGAUCAGUCAAGGCUUAAUGUCACCCACAACUCUGAUUUUCACUAAAAGACAAGGAGCUCUUAACAUCACAGGGAAAAAAACCCCCAAACAAACCAAGUAACAGUCUCAUGGUGCGCUAGGGAGAGAGACCGCCAGCAGCCCCUCUCAGAGAUGGCUGCGGGGGUCCCAGCUCUCUCAGCUUGUGAAACGCCCCCUCUUCUCAUCUUUCUCUGCAAAGCUCUCUCCCAUUCCCCUCAGGAAGAACAAAGAUUAUCCCUCUUGUCUUAUACAGAGCACUGGGUCUGCCCCCUGGUCUUGGGGGCUCACCACACCCUAGUACCUUUAAUAUUCUGUAUUUC
This 1152-nucleotide long non-coding RNA is filed under the name Vulpes vulpes (red fox). Its description in RNAcentral is "lncRNA (ENSVVUG00000029951.1)". The record is from RNAcentral. Lineage: Eukaryota; Metazoa; Chordata; Mammalia; Carnivora; Canidae.